CCCCUAGUAACGGCGAGUGAAGAGGGAAAAGCUCAAAUUUUGAAUCUGGUGUCUGUGACGCCCGAGUUGUAAUCUAGAGAAGUGUUUUCCGUGUCGGACCGUGCACAAGUUCCCUGGAACGGGGCGUCAUAGAGGGUGAGAAUCCCGUAUAUGGCACGGACUGCCGAUGCUCUGUGAUACACUCUCAACGAGUCGAGUUGUUUGGGAAUGCAGCUCAAAAUGGGUGGUAAAUUCCAUCUAAAGCUAAAUAUUGGCGAGAGACCGAUAGCGAACAAGUACCGUGAGGGAAAGAUGAAAAGCACUUUGGAAAGAGAGUGAAACAGUACGUGAAAUUGUUGAAAGGGAAGCGUUUGAAGUCAGUCAUGUCUGGCGGGAUUCAGCUUGGCUUCUGCCGAGUGUACUUUCCGUCCGACGGGUCAGCAUCAAUUUCGACCGAGGGAAAAAAGACGUGCGGAAUGUGGCUGUCUUCGGGCAGUGUUAUAGCCCCGCGUUGUAUGCCUUGGGUUGGGAUUGAGGAACGCAGCGCGCCUAUAGGCCAGGGGCUACCCGCCUCUUGACACGCGCUUAGGAUGCUGGCAUAA
Molecule: ribosomal RNA, 581 nt
Filed under: uncultured Sebacinales
Lineage: Eukaryota; Fungi; Basidiomycota; Agaricomycetes; Sebacinales
Description: eukaryotic LSU rRNA
Rfam family: Eukaryotic large subunit ribosomal RNA
Source: RNAcentral